GGACAUGCAUGAUGAAGAGAGCUAUCCGUCGACAGUACAGAACAGUUCCACUGUCAUGGAGUUGCUCUCUUUAUUUACAUGCCC
Molecule: non-coding RNA, 84 nt
Organism: Rhodnius prolixus
Lineage: Eukaryota; Metazoa; Arthropoda; Insecta; Hemiptera; Reduviidae
Source: Rfam